UACGGAGGGUGCGAGCGUUAAUCGGAAUUACUGGGCGUAAAGCGUGCGUAGGCGGCGCGUUAAGCCAGGUGUGAAAGCCCCGGGCUCAACCUGGGAACUGCACUUGGGACUGGCGCGCUGGAGUUUGGGAGAGGGGAGCGGAAUUCCGGGUGUAGCGGUGAAAUGCGUAGAUAUCCGGAGGAACACCAGUGGCGAAGGCGGCUCCCUGGCCCAAAACUGACGCUGAGGCACGAAAGCGUGGGUAGCAAACAGG
Molecule: ribosomal RNA, 253 nt
Filed under: uncultured bacterium
Lineage: Bacteria
Description: partial 16S ribosomal RNA
Rfam family: Bacterial small subunit ribosomal RNA
Source: RNAcentral